This 351-nucleotide ribosomal RNA is filed under the name Triticum aestivum (bread wheat). Its description in RNAcentral is "partial small subunit ribosomal RNA". The record is from RNAcentral. Lineage: Eukaryota; Viridiplantae; Streptophyta; Magnoliopsida; Poales; Poaceae.
AUGCCAGAUGUGACACGCCAGUGGUGGAAAUGGCAUGUGUUGAAGAAGCAUAAAGAGUUUCUUGGGCAUUUGUACACAAAGAGAAGCAAUUUCAGAGAUGAUUUCCACAAGAUAGGUCAUCACAUGAUGAUGGUUGAUGAGUUCAAGAAAGCAUGGGCAGACCUGAUGGAUGCAUACAGAUUGCAGAAGACCACAUACUCGACUCAGUUGCACGAAGUUAGGACCAAGUGGGAAAAGCCAGACUUCAAAGGUAAAUUUUGUGCCAAGAUGACGAGCACUCAACGAAGUGAGAGUGCUAAUCACAUGUCCCCGUGGGCUGCCUUAUGCAUCUGUUGGUUCGGAAGUACAUGA